This 325-nucleotide long non-coding RNA is filed under the name Fragaria vesca (wild strawberry). RNAcentral's name for it is "long non-coding RNA (FVES_LNC000669)". The record is from RNAcentral. Lineage: Eukaryota; Viridiplantae; Streptophyta; Magnoliopsida; Rosales; Rosaceae.
CAAAACAUGACAGAACUGCAGCAAGUUACCUACCAAAUCUAUCUGUGUUCUCUCACAUAACUUCAGGGAUCGAAGGGAUCAUGGCGGAUUAUGUUCACCAAAAAAUGACCAAAGAAUUUUUCUCUUUAUGUUUCAGCUUGUUCUUUUUGAUCAUCAUGAAAGAUCUUUUCUUGUUUCUCGUUUUUCCUUAGAUUUAGUAAUGCUAGCAGUUCUGAAAAUGCUAGCAGGGAAGGUUUUCAGCAAUAGGAGCAAUAAUGGUGCUGCACGGUGUUGGCAGUAGAACAUCAAUGUAGGGAAGUAGCAGUAAUAGCUACGUUUUUCUGCA